AGUCGAACGGAGCACCCUUGACGGAGUUUUCGGACAACGGAUAGGAAUGCUUAGUGGCGGACUGGUGAGUAACGCGUGAGGAACCUGCCUUUCAGAGGGGGACAACAGUUGGAAACGACUGCUAAUACCGCAUGACAUGCAACCGGGGCAUCCCGGAUGCAUCAAAGAUUUUAUCGCUGAAAGAUGGCCUCGCGUCUGAUUAGCUAGUUGGUGGGGUAACGGCCCACCAAGGCGACGAUCAGUAGCCGGACUGAGAGGUUGACCGGCCACAUUGGGACUGAGAUACGGCCCAGACUCCUACGGGAGGCAGCAGUGGGGAAUAUUGGGCAAUGGACGCAAGUCUGACCCAGCAACGCCGCGUGAAGGAAGAAGGCUUUCGGGUUGUAAACUUCUUUUGUCAGGGAAGAGUAGAAGACGGUACCUGACGAAUAAGCCACGGCUAACUACGUGCCAGCAGCCGCGGUAAUACGUAGGUGGCAAGCGUUGUCCGGAUUUACUGGGUGUAAAGGGCGUGUAGCCGGGAAGACAAGUCAGAUGUGAAAUCUGGAGGCUCAACCUCCAAACUGCAUUUGAAACUGUUUUUCUUGAGUAUCGGAGAGGUAACCGGAAUUCCUAGUGUAGCGGUGAAAUGCGUAGAUAUUAGGAAGAACACCAGUGGCGAAGGCGGGUUACUGGACGACAACUGACGGUGAGGCGCGAAAGCGUGGGGAGCAAACAGG
Molecule: ribosomal RNA, 719 nt
Filed under: uncultured bacterium
Lineage: Bacteria
Description: bacterial SSU rRNA
Rfam family: Bacterial small subunit ribosomal RNA
Source: RNAcentral